GUAAUACGAAGGGUGCAAGCGUUACUCGGAAUUACUGGGCGUAAAGCGUGCGUAGGUGGUCGUUUAAGUCCGUUGUGAAAGCCCUGGGCUCAACCUGGGAACUGCAGUGGAUACUGGGCGACUAGAGUGUGGUAGAGGGUAGCGGAAUUCCUGGUGUAGCAGUGAAAUGCGUAGAGAUCAGGAGGAACAUCCAUGGCGAAGGCAGCUACCUGGACCAACACUGACACUGAGGCACGAAAGCGUGGGGAGCAAACAGGAUUAGAUA
This 265-nucleotide ribosomal RNA is filed under the name Stenotrophomonas sp. RNAcentral describes it as "partial 16S ribosomal RNA". It matches the Rfam family "Bacterial small subunit ribosomal RNA", at positions 520 to 784 of the family's 1533-position model. The record is from RNAcentral. Lineage: Bacteria; Pseudomonadati; Pseudomonadota; Gammaproteobacteria; Lysobacterales; Lysobacteraceae.